Molecule: transfer RNA, 71 nt
Filed under: Beryx splendens (splendid alfonsino)
Lineage: Eukaryota; Metazoa; Chordata; Actinopteri; Beryciformes; Berycidae
Also listed under: 4 other names
Description: tRNA-Gln
Rfam family: tRNA
About the family: Transfer RNA (tRNA) molecules are approximately 80 nucleotides in length. Their secondary structure includes four short double-helical elements and three loops (D, anti-codon, and T loops). Further hydrogen bonds mediate the characteristic L-shaped molecular structure. tRNAs have two regions of fundamental functional importance: the anti-codon, which is responsible for specific mRNA codon recognition, and the 3' end, to which the tRNAs corresponding amino acid is attached (by aminoacyl-tRNA synthetases). tRNAs cope with the degeneracy of the genetic code in two manners: having more than one tRNA (with a specific anti-codon) for a particular amino acid; and 'wobble' base-pairing, i.e. permitting non-standard base-pairing at the 3rd anti-codon position.
Source: RNAcentral
UAGAAAGUGGUGUAGUGGAAGCACCAAGAGUUUUGAUCUCUUAAGGACGGGUUCGAGUCCCUUUUUUCUAA